CUGUCCUCAACUAAGUUGAGAAAGCAUGUGUCCACACUGUCGACAGUCCUAAACCUGAGAGACAAUGAGAUGGACAUCCUCGCAAAUUUUCUAGGCCAUGAUAUCAGAGUCCAUAGGGAGUACUAUAGACUGCCUGAAGGAACACUUGAGUUGGCUAAAGUCAGCAAAGUGCUCAUUGCUCUAGAACAAGGCCGACUGUCAGACUUCAAGGGAAUGAGCCUCGAUCAAAUCCAAAUUAAUCCCAAUGAAGAAAUGCAGGAAGAUGUGGAAAGUGAUCUUUCAGAGACGGAUGCAUCAAAGGAGUCAUCUUUCAGCUCCUCAACAUCGAGAUCCUCAACACCUAAGAGAAGAAAGGAGACAGGAUCUGACAUUGAUGACCCUAAAGAGGGUACUUCUCACACCCACCGCACACCCUGUUUUGCCUCAGGAACUUCAACAAAGGAAAAGGAGUCUGACACUGAUGCCACUAAAAUGGGACCACCAAGAUUCAAGCAAGGACAGUGGACCACAGAUGAGCCUGAUGGUGACCACACUACCGCAGGAACAUCAAAGAAGAGGACUUGGACAUCAGCUGAGGUCCAAGCUGUGGAAAAGACACUAAUGUCCUUCAUUGAGUCUGGUAAAGUACCAG
Oreochromis aureus is the source of this 631-nucleotide long non-coding RNA. The record is from Ensembl. NCBI's taxonomy places the organism in Eukaryota, Metazoa, Chordata, Actinopteri, Cichliformes, Cichlidae.